GGGGAGAUAUGAUGAUCAACAAAUUGGUCCGUGUUUCAGAUUAACCGUGACCAAAAAAAAAAAAAAAAAAAAAAAAAAAAAAA
RNAcentral lists this small nucleolar RNA (83 nucleotides) under Arabidopsis thaliana (thale cress). RNAcentral's name for it is "partial JKHR09H9". The record is from RNAcentral. Lineage: Eukaryota; Viridiplantae; Streptophyta; Magnoliopsida; Brassicales; Brassicaceae.